CAGUCGCCGCGGUAAUACAGAGGGUGCAAGCGUUAAUCGGAAUUACUGGGCGUAAAGCGCGCGUAGGUGGUUUGUUAAGUUGGAUGUGAAAUCCCCGGGCUCAACCUGGGAACUGCAUCCAAAACUGGCAAGCUAGAGUAUGGUAGAGGGUGGUGGAAUUUCCUGUGUAGCGGUAAAAUGCGUAGAUAUAGGAAGGAACACCAGUGGCGAAGGCGACCACCUGGACUGAUACUGACACUGAGGUGCGAAAGCGUGGGGAGCAAACAGGAUUAGAUACCCCCGUAGUCCCUGUCUCUUAUAC
This 301-nucleotide ribosomal RNA is filed under the name uncultured bacterium. RNAcentral's name for it is "partial 16S ribosomal RNA". It matches the Rfam family "Bacterial small subunit ribosomal RNA", at positions 509 to 807 of the family's 1533-position model. The record is from RNAcentral.